CGUAGGUGGUCUGAUAAGGGUGUGGUGAAAGUCCGGGGCUCAACCCCGGAUCUGCCGUGCCGACUGUCAGACUCGAGGACUGUAGAGGCAGACGGAAUUCCGGGUGUAGCGGUGGAAUGCGUAGAGAUCCGGAGGAAGACCGGUGGCGAAGGCGGUCUGCUGGGCAGUUUCUGACACUGAGGCGCGACAGCGUGGGGAGCAAACA
Molecule: ribosomal RNA, 205 nt
Filed under: uncultured bacterium
Lineage: Bacteria
Description: partial 16S ribosomal RNA
Rfam family: Bacterial small subunit ribosomal RNA
Source: RNAcentral